This 301-nucleotide ribosomal RNA is filed under the name uncultured bacterium. RNAcentral's name for it is "partial 16S ribosomal RNA". It matches the Rfam family "Bacterial small subunit ribosomal RNA", at positions 509 to 807 of the family's 1533-position model. The record is from RNAcentral.
CAGUAGCCGCGGUAAUACGAAGGGGGCUAGCGUUACUCGGAAUUACUGGGCGUAAAGGGCGCGUAGGCGGCACGAUUAGUCAGGCGUGAAAUUCCUGGGCUCAACCUGGGGACUGCGCUUGAUACGGUCGAGCUAGAGGACGGAAGAGGGUCGUGGAAUUCCCAGUGUAGAGGUGAAAUUCGUAGAUAUUCGCAAGAACACCAGUGGCGAAGGCGGCUCACUGGCCCGAUACUGACGCUGAGGUGCGAAAGCGUGGGGAGCAAACAGGAUUAGAUACCCCAGUAGUCCCUGUCUCUUAUAC